CUGUGUUAUCCACGCCUCGUGUAUGUCAUCCCCUGCAACUCUCUUGAUAUCCAUGGAGGUGCCAUCUUUGUGGCAGGUUCUGAUCCCAGUGCUGAGGACAUAGAGGUAGGUGAACCACACCUGAAGCAUAAGGAAUAUCUACUAGGCAAAAAGACCUCUCUGUCACACAAGGAAGUCAUUCUCCCUCUGCAAUUGAGUGAGGGGCAGCCCCCGACUUCCUUGUCCGGGAGACAUGGUGCUCCCUACACAGUGCUGAGCAAAGUUGUUGUCACCCUGAAGUUCCUCAUCCUCAGUGAAGACCCAAUCCUACAUACACACAAACACAGGUACCUACCUUAGACAUACAAGCUGGUAAAAUACUGAUCUCUGCCCUAUAUGCUUCUUUUUUAAAAAUAGGGGA
Molecule: long non-coding RNA, 400 nt
Organism: Lutra lutra (Eurasian river otter)
Lineage: Eukaryota; Metazoa; Chordata; Mammalia; Carnivora; Mustelidae
Exons: 3
Source: RefSeq, a predicted model, not a curated record